CUGAAUUUAAAAAAGAAUACAGAAGUUGGGGGAAGACUUGGAACGACUCCAACAUGGCAUACCAAUCCAUGGAACAUAAUGGUAAAUGAGGAGAUAAAGUAAGAGACAGACAGAGAGAGAGAAGAAAAAAGAGAUUGAACCUGAACAUAGGACUCUAUUUUAUGACAUGGCUUUUGACAUGUUGAAAAUGCACCGUUUGCAGUAGUUUUCUCUCCUCAACCUAUCAAGACAAUACAAUUUUUAAAAUUCCAAGUGUAAAAUCUGGUCAAACAUGCAGAAAAAAGUUACACCAGAUUUCAUUUCCACAUUACAGCUGGGGAAGCCCCAGAGAGAUCAAGAUAUGUGCAAGCAUUCAGCAGAAUGAAGUCUAACAUAAGCAUGGUUUCCCCUCUGCUCAACCAUUUAAAGCUAAGUUAACCAGAGACAUGAUAGCUAAGCAAGUCAGGCAUUCAGAAAAUGAUGCAGGCUUGAAGAUGACAAACAAGUUCAGAGACAGCAAAGAAAAGCAGCAACAAAUUCUCUAGUUUUCCUUCCCUCCUUAAUAAAAGAAUAAACAACUGUCAAAGGAAGUACAUAUGCUGUAGCUGCUGUAUACCCAAGGAAAGCUGAAGGGAUAUGAUAAUGCUCACAAUGCUGUAUUGUUUCCUGCCUUUAAAAAUUACUGCCUUUUUUUUUUUUAAUGUUUUGGUGUCUUCUGUUUAAACUUUGUAUAUGACAAAUCCUUAACUCAAAGGAAAGGGAACAAAAGAAUCACUUGACUUUAUGUUGGGCUUAAGAAUUAUAUAUGUCCUCUAUGAAUACUCUUAUGAAUAAUUUAUAGUUGUGGUGGGUUCAUGUUAUAUUUAAGGCAAUUAAAAUAUACCAAAGGGAAAAAAAGGCAACAGGAGGUAACAGGAACUCUUCCAAUCAUUCAGUGAGGUUUACAGUUUAAUCCUUUGCUCCCUUCAUUAGGAGUCUGUGUUUUAAGGUGAAUUUAUACACAAGAGAGAACAGACAGAGUACAAGCGAAAGGAGGUUUCACUCAGGAAAUGAGUGCAACAGCUGGACAACAGCAUUAUGCUAAAUGGUACAGCAAAAACAUAACCAAGAAUGAGCUACCCAGCUACAAUUUACAACAGAGUAUAAAUCCCCUUCCAAAGAGACACUUUCUGCUUUAAUCGAUUUCAAAGACGGUUAAAUGUGCACAAAAGAGAAACAAUGGCACUUGACCUGUGUAAAUCGAAAUAGAAAAGUUGGUGGUGGAUAACGGUAUAUCUGCUGUUCUUUAGAGGUAUUGGACUAUCUAUAUUUGUCAUCACCCACAGUUAGACUGCUAAGACUCCUAUUGUGGUAAUAGAUAACAAUCUCAUUUACCCCAAAGCGAUUUGAAUCUGAAUUUAACAUGAAAUAGGGUUACCUUUUACCACAAUACAUAAUCUCAUAGUUACCUAGUUAUAUCCCAUGAAUCCACAUUUCUGAAUAAUAUAGAUUUAUAAACCCUUAUUCUGGUUCAGCACUUUAAAUAUGCUGAAUAUAUAUGCCAGAACUCAAUUAAAACUGUAUACCUUUUCGACUAAAACUUAGAGCAAUGUACCAGUUAUAUAUUGUGCCUGCAAAUAUUUAAUUCUUCCAAAUUUCUGCAAUCCCAAGUUGCAAAACCAGAUUUAUCAAGCAUCCAACCGAGUUGUCAUGAAGUUUUGCUGCAUUAAGGUACAACUGAGGUUGUUUUUCUUAGUGGAAGGAUGAGAAACUUAUGACCCAGACAUUUAGAACUAUAAUUGGGAAGAACCUCAGUCAACAUAAGUAAAGAUGAGAGAUGCAAGGUGCUGCAUUUCAGCAACAUCUGCCAGCAAGUUCUAUUUCUAUAUGCUAUGAAGAGUGAUGAAAAGCCUCCAGUAUAUUUUAUUCUGGGUGUGCACUGUUUCAGAAGUCACUCCCUUGUGCAAAUGACAGGAAUAAGAAAACAGCUUCAGCAACCACAGAGACACAGAGAUUAACUUGAUUUCAAACAUGGCUGCUUUUUUAUAAUUGCACAGCUGCCAGACUGUGGAGAGAACAAGUUAGCCACACAAAAUGAUCCCAUAGCCAAAUCAUUGUCCAGUAUUUCCAACAAUACAAUGAUAGUGCGCUACAGAAAAAAAAAUGUACAAUAUCCUGAAUCUCCAUUAAUACUGUAAUAAAUUUAAACCAAGUAUUACACUGGAAAAAAAUGCUGGAUUAAAAGAAACUGAAACUAAUGGUAGGCCGAAAUAAUUGUUUUUAAGGAUUAGGGAGGAAGUCUUCCAGGAGAAAGCGUUCAACCUUUUAUUGGACACAUCUGCUUUCCUCACAAAUCUGUUAAAGAGAUUUUUUGGGGUGGGAAAACAAAAGUAUGUGUUGUAUUGAGAAAGGCCUUGCAAGGAAAAAAAAUAAGCACCUUUUUUUGAAAUACUAGUUCCACCGAUCUUCAAUGAAGGCAUGUGAAACAAUUAAUUCUUUCUUUCUGAAAGAAAAGUCUAGUGUGUACUUAUUUGUCAUCAUUCAUACCUUCAUUUUGGGUGGAUUACUAUGGCUUUAAACUUCCAUAAAAUAUUUAUUGCUUUAACAUUAAAUUAUAAAACACAUUCAGCACCAAAAGCUAAAUUACUGCCAUAUUCUUUAUAGAAUAUAAACAACAAUUACCUGCUCAAGAAGGAACCUAUGUAUGAAAAUUUAUAAUGAUUUUAGAUGAAAAAUUAAUAAAACAAUCAACUUCUUUCUACCGUAGAAGUAAAUAAUAUGUGGGUCUCUCCAUUCUCAUCCAGAAUCUUUACUGCAAAUGCCACUUUUAUUGUACGUUUAUAAUGCAUAAGAAAAUAGAUAGCCCAGAACCAACAUUUAUUUCCCAACAAAUAUAAAAAUGGGGGUGGGGGUGGGGAAUUCCCAGCAAAUUAGAAUUUUUUCCAGAGUGCUUUUUCUUGUAGUUAUGACAAAUUCUACUCAGUUUUGGAGGUAGAUUAAUCAUGGCGAAAAUAAGUUUACAGCAGUAUUUAUAACAACAGAAUUGCAAAUAAACCUGUCCCCUAGAAACUUCUAUAUUGGAGGAGAAAUAAUCUAUUGGUGUAUUAAUGAUUUACUAAAGAACAAAUACCUAUAUUAGAUAUUCUGUAUUUGCAAUUCACGUAAGUGAAAUAAGGUCUUUUAGAAGACAGGAGUGCAUUUGGUAGACUUCCACAGAAACAAACCACAUCUAGUAUAGACAAAAUCUAUACAAAGAAGGAGCCUUCCAAAUCUUCGCGAGAAUGGAGCCCACUUACAGAAUGACAUGAGGUGGUCCUGGUAGGGAGGUUGUGCUUUGCGUUGGCUGGGUACAUCUGUCAGAAGAAUGCAAAGGGCCUGGAAACAAUGCCAACUGCAAAGCAAGCAGCUUUUCAAUUUCUAGAAGAUAUGAAAACAAGGAUUCUGACGGAUGAUUGGGUUCUUGGGGGACUAGUGGUGAUAGUUUCAUUCUUCACUAUCAUCAUUGUCCUCAUUUUGUUUGCUGUGAUCUUUGGCUGCUGUUCAACUGAAAGGAGAAACUAAGCUCUGGGUAAAUCAUGAGAGCACUUGCCUUUACGGUAUUUUAACUACAGAGUGACUGAGCAGUGUAAAGAGCUGUUGCUUCUUGCUGUUUUAUCUUUUGAAUUUAGAAAUGAAUGUAUCAAAGAAGAAACUGGUGCUGCUAAAGCACAACGCCAACUAGCAUCUGAGGGCUGACUCCAAGUGAAGUUUGCAAUAAGCAACCAUGUUUCUGCUGUGUUUUUGAUGCAAGGGUGGUUUCUAUUUGCAAUGGAAAACUGAACAAUAAAUGGCUAUGGUCUCAGAAAUCUUCAUUCAAUCUUUCAAAAGGCCUGUUUUAUACUUCAGAAUAUGUCUAAUUUUUCUGAAGAUCAUCUAUUUAACUUUUUUCUCUAGCAAAUUUUUUAAGUGUGAAAGGACCUGACAGUUGGUCUGUUUAAAACAUCUGUUACAUCUAAAAUCAAUGAUAUGAAUAAAAAAAAAAAUCAAACUGUUAUUUAAAAUAAAGAAUAGCCCUAAUCCUUCAU
Molecule: non-coding RNA, 4022 nt
Organism: Pantherophis guttatus
Lineage: Eukaryota; Metazoa; Chordata; Lepidosauria; Squamata; Colubridae
Source: RefSeq, a predicted model, not a curated record